GAUGAACGCUGGCGGCGUGCCUAAUACAUGCAAGUCGAGCGAACAGACGAGGAGCUUGCUCCUCUGACGUUAGCGGCGGACGGGUGAGUAACACGUGGAUAACCUACCUAUAAGACUGGGAUAACUUCGGGAAACCGGAGCUAAUACCGGAUAAUAUAUUGAACCGCAUGGUUCAAUAGUGAAAGACGGUUUUGCUGUCACUUAUAGAUGGAUCCGCGCCGCAUUAGCUAGUUGGUAAGGUAACGGCUUACCAAGGCAACGAUGGGUAGCCGACCUGAGAGGGUGAUCGGCCACACUGGAACUGAGACGCGGUCCAGACUCCUACGGGGGGCAGCAGUAGGGAAUCUUCCGCAAUGGGCGAAAGCCUGACGGAGCAACGCCGCGUGAGUGAUGAAGGUCUUCGGAUCGUAAAGCUCUGUUAUUAGGGAAGAACAAAUGUGUAAGUAACUAUGCACGUCUUGACGGUACCUAAUCAGAAAGCCACGGCUAACUACGUG
Molecule: ribosomal RNA, 497 nt
Filed under: uncultured bacterium
Lineage: Bacteria
Description: partial 16S ribosomal RNA
Rfam family: Bacterial small subunit ribosomal RNA
Source: RNAcentral